GCUGUUUCAGCACAAGCUUCCAAAAACACUCGCGAUGCUUCUCGUCUCCAAUUUCGCACAUUCGACUUCAUUUGAGCGACACAACAACCCCGCGCGAGUCAAAUCGUGUCGCUCACUGAUGAGGAACGCCAAAGUGACGUCAUCCGCAUUCGUCGAGAGGCGCGUCUUCUGGUUUGCUGUCAUUUGCCGUUCGGCCGUGGAGGAGGAGUCGGAGCAAAACAUGGCGAAGCUGAACUUGUGUGUCUUGUUUGUCGCGGCUGCGCAAAUCCACAGCGUGACGCCCGUGCUUCACACGCUCAAGUAUUUAAUGACAGCAUCGUCUCAAAUUCCAAACAUCCCAGACUACUUUGAGGUCGGUUAUGUUGACGACGUUCCGAUUUCGCGCUACGACAGCAAGAGCAGGAAAGCAAAACCCAAACAGGACUGGAUGAACAAAAUCACAGCAGAUGAUCCUCACUACUGGGAGAGACAGACACAGAACGGUAUUGCUCGUGAGCAGAUCAACAAAGUCAACAUCGAAACUGCCAAAGAGCGCUUCAACCAAACUGGAGGUGUUCACAUGUUCCAGGUGAUGUCCGGCUGCGAAUGGGACGACGAGACCGAUGAGGUUGAUGGUUGGGAACACUACAGUUACGAUGGAGAAGCCUUCAUCUCGUUGGAGGUGAAGACAAUGAGAUGGAUCGCAGCUCACCCACAAGCUUUCGUCACCAAACUCAAGUGGGACCGGAACGAACUUUGGAAUCUAAACAAGAAGCACUACUUCACUGAGAUUUGUCCUUCUUACUUGAAGAAGUAUUUGACCAAUGGGAGGGACUUCCUGAUGAGAACAGAGCUUCCCACGGUGUCUCUCCUCCAGAAGACGCCGUCCUCUCCGGUCACCUGCCACGCGACGGGUUUCUACCCCAGCGCGGCCGCCCUGUUUUGGAGGAAUGACGGCGAGGAGCUCCACGAGGACACGGAGACGGGAGAGACCCUCCGCAACCACGACGGAACCUUCCAGAUGACGGCCGACCUGAAAGCGGAGGUGACCGAUGAAGCCGAGGGCCGCUACGAAUGCGUGUUCCAGCUGUCCGGCGUGGCGGACGACAUCGUUGUCAAGCUGGAGAGAAGAAGCAUCCGGAGCAACGCGCGCAUCCGAGAGGAAGAAAAGAGGAAGAUGGCGCUGGCCGUCGCUGUCCCGCUGGCGGUCCUCGCUCUGGCGGCGGCGGCGGUCGCGGUCCUCGUCAAGCUUUACAAAAGCAGACGCUAUCGUUGUGGGAAAAAGGACUCGCUCCCUAAGGCGGAGAAAACCUGAAACCGAAUGGAAGUCAAUUUAGAUUUGGUGGAAAAUGUACGACUUAGUUCACUCGUGUUCCUUGGCCCUCAACGGCGAAGCGUGCCAAAGCCGCACUCGGGUUCAUUCGAUUGAAGCUCCUCCCCUCGCUUCGACAAAGUUCCUCGGCCCCGAGAUGCCACCGGGUGGCGCCAAACCUCUAUUUUAAUAUUAGAUAUGGUUUUGGGCUGAGCGCAAAGACAGCGAAUAACAGAAGCUAGCUUCCCCUCAAUCAAUAUUCCCCAACAUCCGAAUUCCUGAAUGUGGAAUUGGAAAUAUGCGGCUAUGAACUGUACGAUUCCAAAGAAAUUCCCCACCACACUCUCGUAGUCAGGAAGUAGAAGAUUUGUCCCAACCGCAGCUCAAAGUACGAGUGAAGAUGGAUUCAAGAGGCCUUCGUGGAGCAAAUGUCCUUCCUUCCAGUCGGACAUGUUUUCAUUCACAUCUUUUUUUUCAUUCAUCGCAGCCGUCGACGCCGAUUCCGAGCCCGCCUCCGAGCCCGCCGCCCCGACGCCCGCUUCCGAGUGAGACGCAGCCGCCGUCGCACGGUGUCGGAACACGAGAGAGACGUCUCCAUCGAGCGCUUUCUCAUCACGCUUGGGUUUGAAAACAGAG
Phyllopteryx taeniolatus (common seadragon) is the source of this 1927-nucleotide RNA transcript. It is a transcript of the gene named major histocompatibility complex class I-related gene protein-like, with no coding region annotated. The record is from RefSeq and is a predicted model, not a curated record. The transcript has 6 exons. Lineage: Eukaryota; Metazoa; Chordata; Actinopteri; Syngnathiformes; Syngnathidae.